Molecule: unclassified non-coding RNA, 416 nt
Filed under: Hevea brasiliensis (rubber tree)
Lineage: Eukaryota; Viridiplantae; Streptophyta; Magnoliopsida; Malpighiales; Euphorbiaceae
Source: RNAcentral
CGUGCUUCUUUAAGAUGUCAUUUAACAGAGGAAAAUCUGUUCAAUCACUCGUCACAUUCAUCAAUUUUUCAUGAAAUUGAAGCACACUUCUUAGCAAAAAUAGACAGCAUUGACAAUAGACACAAUUAAACACCUUAACAAUUCAGCAAGAAAACAACCCAUAAGAUUAGUUAAAACACUAUCAAGCAGAUACAACAUAAAUGCCAAAACAAAGAGUUUACAACAUCAAAACAAAAUCACCCAAAUUAGCAACCCUCUAUAUAUUGAACUUCAUUUUGCAACAUACAGCAGCAAUAACAAUACAAAGCUAAACAUUCAAGAAGACACAGACCAAAAUCACAUAACAGUAAACAAAAAUGAAAUGGCAAGGAAGCGAACCUUCAAAAGGAGGGAUACCCAUUUCAACUCCCAUGUGA